RNAcentral lists this ribosomal RNA (332 nucleotides) under uncultured Gemmatimonas sp. RNAcentral describes it as "bacterial SSU rRNA". It matches the Rfam family "Bacterial small subunit ribosomal RNA", at positions 568 to 898 of the family's 1533-position model. Lineage: Bacteria; Pseudomonadati; Gemmatimonadota; Gemmatimonadia; Gemmatimonadales; Gemmatimonadaceae. The record is from RNAcentral.
CGCGUAGGUGGCUUGGUAAGCGUGCGGUGAAAGCUCGAGGCUCAACCUCGAGUCUGCCGUGCGAACUGCCGAGCUGGAGCACGGUAGAGGCACAUGGAAUUCCGGGUGUAGCGGUGGAAUGCGUAGAGAUCCGGAAGAACACCGGUGGCGAAGGCGGUGUGCUGGGCCGUAGCUGACACUGAGGCGCGACAGCGUGGGGAGCAAACAGGAUUAGAUACCCUGGUAGUCCACGCCGUAAACGAUGGGCACUAGGUCCUUGGGGGAGCGACCCCUUGAGGGCCGUCGCAAACGCAUUAAGUGCCCCGCCUGGGGAGUACGGCCGCAAGGCUGAA